AGCAGCCGCGGUAAUUCCAGCUCCAAUAGCGUAUAUUAAAGUUGUUGCAGUUAAAAAGCUCGUAGUUGAAUUUCGGGAUCAAUACGUCUGUCGUGCCUUUGGUACGUACGGGUGUAAUUGGUUUCUACCUUCUGAGGAUCCUUGAUGUCAUUAAUUUGGUGUCUUGGGGAAUCAGGACUGUUACCUUGAAAAAAUUAGAGUGUUUAAAGCAGGCAUACGCUUGAAUACAUUAGCAUGGAAUAAUGAAAUAGGACGUUCGAUUCUAUUUUGUUGGUUUCUAGGAUCGACGUAAUGAUUAAUAGGGAUAGUUGGGGGCAUUAGUAUUCAAUUGUCAGAGGUGAAAUUCUUGGAUUUAUUGAAGACUAACUACUGCGAAAGCAUUUGCCAAGGAUGUUUUCAUUAAUCAAGAACGAAAGUUAGGGGAUCGAAGACGAUCAGAUACCGUCGUAGUCUUAACCAUAAACUAUGCCGACUAGGGAUCGGAUGAUGUUAAUUUUUAAUGACUCAUUCGGCGCCUUAC
RNAcentral lists this ribosomal RNA (520 nucleotides) under uncultured Glomus. RNAcentral's name for it is "SSU rRNA". It matches the Rfam family "Eukaryotic small subunit ribosomal RNA", at positions 569 to 1091 of the family's 1831-position model. The record is from RNAcentral. Lineage: Eukaryota; Fungi; Glomeromycota; Glomeromycetes; Glomerales; Glomeraceae.